RNAcentral lists this transfer RNA (116 nucleotides) under Dysosmobacter segnis. It matches the Rfam family "tRNA". Rfam says of the family: Transfer RNA (tRNA) molecules are approximately 80 nucleotides in length. RNAcentral also lists the same sequence under 1 other name. The record is from Rfam by way of RNAcentral. Lineage: Bacteria; Bacillati; Bacillota; Clostridia; Eubacteriales; Oscillospiraceae.
GCCAGGGUAGCUCAGUUGGUAGAGCGCGUACUUAUGCGUGUCUUGUUGAGACGCUUACAGCAACUUUCUAUGGACUGUUAAUCCCGUGGUCGUGGGUUCGAGUCCCACCCCUGGCA